CACGUAGGGUGCGAGCGUUGUCCGGAAUUAUUGGGCGUAAAGAGCUCGUAGGCGGUGUGUCGCGUCGGCCGUGAAAACCUGCAGCUUAACUGUGGGCUUGCGGUCGAUACGGGCAUCACUGGAGUUCGGCAGGGGAGACUGGAAUUCCUGGUGUAGCGGUGAAAUGCGCAGAUAUCAGGAGGAACACCGGUGGCGAAGGCGGGUCUCUGGGCCGUAACUGACGCUGAGGAGCGAAAGCGUGGGGAGCAAACAGG
RNAcentral lists this ribosomal RNA (254 nucleotides) under uncultured bacterium. Its description in RNAcentral is "partial 16S ribosomal RNA". It matches the Rfam family "Bacterial small subunit ribosomal RNA", at positions 524 to 776 of the family's 1533-position model. The record is from RNAcentral.